This 388-nucleotide ribosomal RNA is filed under the name uncultured bacterium. Its description in RNAcentral is "bacterial SSU rRNA". It matches the Rfam family "Bacterial small subunit ribosomal RNA", at positions 28 to 417 of the family's 1533-position model. The record is from RNAcentral.
GACGAACGCUGGCGGCGUGCUUAACACAUGCAAGUCGAGCGGUAAGGCCCUUUCGGGGUACGACGAGCGGCGAACGGGUGAGUAACACGUGGGUGACCUGCCCUCAGCUCUGGGAUAAGCCUGGGAAACCGGGUCUAAUACCGGAUAUGACUCCAUGACGCAUGUUGUGGGGUGGAAAGCCUUGUGCGGCUGAGGAUGGGCCCGCGGCCUAUCAGCUUGUUGGUGGGGUGAUGGCCUACCAAGGCGACGACGGGUAGCCGGCCUGAGAGGGCGACCGGCCACACUGGGACUGAGACACGGCCCAGACUCCUACGGGAGGCAGCAGUGGGGAAUCUUGCGCAAUGGGCGAAAGCCUGACGCAGCGACGCCGCGUGAGGGAUGACGGCCU